AGCUUGCUUAGAGAUAGUUUAGUGGCGGACGGGUGAGUAACGCGUGAGUAACCUGCCUUUCAGAGGGGGAUAACGUCUGGAAACGGACGCUAAUACCGCAUGACAUUUCGGAGUCACAUGGCUUUGAAAUCAAAGGAGCAAUCCGCUGAAAGAUGGACUCGCGUCCGAUUAGCUAGUUGGUGAGAUAAAAGCCCACCAAGGCGACGAUCGGUAGCCGGACUGAGAGGUUGAACGGCCACAUUGGGACUGAGACACGGCCCAGACUCCUACGGGAGGCAGCAGUGGGGGAUAUUGCACAAUGGAGGAAACUCUGAUGCAGCAACGCCGCGUGAGGGAAGAAGGUUUUCGGAUUGUAAACCUCUGUCCUUGGUGAAGAAAGAAAUGACGGUAGCCAAGGAGGAAGCUCCGGCUAACUACGUGCCAGCAGCCGCGGUAAUACGUAGGGAGCAAGCGUUGUCCGGAUUUACUGGGUGUAAAGGGUGCGUAGGCGGCUCUGCAAGUCAGGCGUGAAAACCAUGGGCUUAACCCAUGGACUGCGUUUGAAACUGUGGGGCUUGAGUGAAGUAGAGGUAGGCGGAAUUCCCGGUGUAGCGGUGAAAUGCGUAGAGAUCGGGAGGAACACCAGUGGCGAAGGCGGCUUACUGGGCUUUAACUGACGCUGAGGCACGAAAGCAUGGGUAGCAAACAGGAUUAGAUACCCUGGUAGUCCAUGCCGUAAACGAUGAUUACUAGGUGUGGGGGGUCUGACCCCUUCCGUGCCGGAGUUAACACAAUAAGUAAUCCACCUGGGGAGUACGGCCGCAAGGUUGAAACUCAAAGGAAUUGACGGGGGCCCGCACAAGCAGUGGAGUAUGUGGUUUAAUUCGAAGCAACGCGAAGAACCUUACCAGGUCUUGACAUCCAACUAACGAAGCAGAGAUGCAUCAGGUGCCCUUCGGGGAAAGUUGAGACAGGUGGUGCAUGGUUGUCGUCAGCUCGUGUCGUGAGAUGUUGGGUUAAGUCCCGCAACGAGCGCAACCCUUGUGAUUAGUUGCUACGCAAGAGCACUCUAAUCAGACUGCCGUUGACAAAACGGAGGAAGGUGGGGACGACGUCAAAUCAUCAUGCCCUUUAUGACCUGGGCUACACACGUACUACAAUGGCUGUUAACAGAGGGAAGCAAGACCGCGAGGUGGAGCAAAACCCUAAAAACAGUCUCAGUUCGGAUCGCAGGCUGCAACCCGCCUGCGUGAAGUUGGAAUUGCUAGUAAUCGCGGAUCAUCAUGCCGCGGUGAAUACGUUCCCGGGCCUUGUACACACCGCCCGUCACACCAUGGGAGCCGGUA
Molecule: ribosomal RNA, 1325 nt
Filed under: Caproiciproducens sp.
Lineage: Bacteria; Bacillati; Bacillota; Clostridia; Eubacteriales; Acutalibacteraceae
Description: bacterial SSU rRNA
Rfam family: Bacterial small subunit ribosomal RNA
Source: RNAcentral